AGACUUUGAUUCUGGCUCAGAUUGAACGCUGGCGGCGUGCCUAACACAUGCAAGUCGAGCGAGAAAGGGUCCUUCGGGACCUGAGUAGAGCGGCGCACGGGUGAGUAACGCGUAGGUGAUCUACCCUUUGGAUCGGGAUAACAGUUGGAAACGGCUGCUAAUACCGGAUAUACUCCAUAUUUAGCUUUAUGGGGGAAAGGUGGCCUCUGCAUGCAAGCUACCACCAAAGGAUGAACCUGCGUCUCAUUAGCUUGUUGGUGGGGUAAUGGCCUACCAAGGCGACGAUGAGUAGCUGGUCUGAGAGGAUGAUCAGCCACACUGGGACUGGAACACGGCCCAGACUCCUACGGGAGGCAGCAGUGGGGAAUAUUGCGCAAUGGGCGAAAGCCUGACGCAGCGACGCCGCGUGAGGGAAGAAGGCUCUCGGGUCGUAAACCUCUGUCAGAAGGGAAGAAACCCUUGAGGUCGAAUAGGCUUCUUGGCUGACGGUACCUUCAGAGGAAGCACCGGCUAAUUCCGUGCCAGCAGCCGCGGUAAUACGGAAGGUGCAAGCGUUAAUCGGAAUCACUGGGCGUAAAGCGCGCGUAGGCCGCCCCGG
This 598-nucleotide ribosomal RNA is filed under the name uncultured bacterium. Its description in RNAcentral is "bacterial SSU rRNA". It matches the Rfam family "Bacterial small subunit ribosomal RNA", at positions 8 to 584 of the family's 1533-position model. The record is from RNAcentral.